RNAcentral lists this ribosomal RNA (562 nucleotides) under uncultured bacterium. RNAcentral's name for it is "bacterial SSU rRNA". It matches the Rfam family "Bacterial small subunit ribosomal RNA", at positions 419 to 1009 of the family's 1533-position model. The record is from RNAcentral.
CUCGAUUGAAACCUCUUCAUAGGAAAACAAGUGACGGUACCUAAAGAAAACACGGCUAACUAUGUGCCACAGCCGCGGUAAUACAUAGGUGCAAGCGUGUCCGGAAUUAUUGGGCGUAAAGAGCUCGUAGUCGUUAAUCACGUCGGAUGUGAAAAUCUGAGGCUCAACCUCAACUGCAUUCGAUACGGGUUAACUAGAGUGUGGUAGGGGAGACUGGAAUUCCUGGUGUAGCGGUGGAAUGCGCAGAUAUCAGGAGGAACACCAAUGGCGAAGGCAGGUCUCUGGGCCAUUACUGACACUGAGGAGCGAAAGUUCGGGGAGCGAACAGGAUUAGAUACCCUGGUAGUCCACGCGGUAAACGAUGAGAACUAGCCGUUGGGUGCGUUUCAGCACUGAGUGGCGAAGCUAACGCGAUAAGUUCUCCGCCUGGGGAGUACGGCCGCAAGGUUAAAACUCAAAUGAAUUGACGGGGGCCCGCACAAGCGGUGGAGCAUGUGGUUUAAUUCGAUGCAACGCGAAGAACCUUACCUGUGCUUGACAUGUCGCGAAUCCCGAGAGAUUG